GGGGUUAUAGCUCAGUGGUGGAGCAUGCGCUUGGCAAGCACAAGGCCCUGGGUUCAAUCCCCAGUGCCUCUG
RNAcentral lists this transfer RNA (72 nucleotides) under Camelus bactrianus (Bactrian camel). It matches the Rfam family "tRNA". Rfam says of the family: Transfer RNA (tRNA) molecules are approximately 80 nucleotides in length. Their secondary structure includes four short double-helical elements and three loops (D, anti-codon, and T loops). RNAcentral also lists the same sequence under 2 other names. Lineage: Eukaryota; Metazoa; Chordata; Mammalia; Artiodactyla; Camelidae. The record is from Rfam by way of RNAcentral.